Molecule: ribosomal RNA, 207 nt
Filed under: uncultured bacterium
Lineage: Bacteria
Description: partial 16S ribosomal RNA
Rfam family: Bacterial small subunit ribosomal RNA
Source: RNAcentral
UGCGUAGGUGGGCAGGUAAGUCAGUGGUGAAAUCUCCGGGCUUAACUCGGAAACUGCCGUUGAUACUAUCUGUCUUGAAUAUCGUGGAGGUUAGCGGAAUAUGUCAUGUAGCGGUGAAAUGCUUAGAUAUGACAUAGAACACCCAUUGCGAAGGCAGCUAACUACACGAUCGUUGACACUGAGGCACGAAAGCGUGGGGAGCAAACA